Molecule: ribosomal RNA, 483 nt
Filed under: uncultured bacterium
Lineage: Bacteria
Description: partial 16S ribosomal RNA
Rfam family: Bacterial small subunit ribosomal RNA
Source: RNAcentral
AUUGAACGCUGGCGGCAGGCCUAACACAUGCAAGUCGAGCGGAUGAAGGGAGCUUGCUCCUGGAUUCAGCGGCGGACGGGUGAGUAAUGCCUAGGAAUCUGCCUGGUAGUGGGGGAUAACGUCCGGAAACGGGCGCUAUACCGCAUACGUCCUGAGGUCGAAAGUGGGGGAUCUUCGGACCUCACGCUAUCAGAUGAGCCUAGGUCGGAUUAGCUAGUUGGUGGGGUAAAGGCCUACCAAGGCGACGAUCCGUAACUGGUCUGAGAGGAUGAUCAGUCACACUGGAACUGAGACACGGUCCAGACUCCUACGGGAGGCAGCAGUGGGGAAUAUUGGACAAUGGGCGAAAGCCUGAUCCAGCCACGCCGCGUGUGUGAAGAAGGUCUUCGGAUUGUAAAGCACUUUAAGUUGGGAGGAAGGGCAGUAAGUUAAUACCUUGCUGUUUUGACGUUACCAACAGAAUAAGCACCGGCUAACUUCGUG